RNAcentral lists this ribosomal RNA (469 nucleotides) under uncultured bacterium. Its description in RNAcentral is "bacterial SSU rRNA". It matches the Rfam family "Bacterial small subunit ribosomal RNA", at positions 355 to 825 of the family's 1533-position model. The record is from RNAcentral.
UCGAGAAUCUUCCGCAAUGGGCGAAAGCCUGACGGAGCGACACCGCGUGCAGGACGAAGGCCCUCGGGUUGUAAACUGCUGUCACGCCCUAGGAAUGCCAUGUCGUUAAUAGCGGCAUGGUUGACCAAGGCGAAAGGAAGUGGCGGCUAACUCUGUGCCAGCAGCCGCGGUAAGACAGAGGCCACGAACGUUGUUCGGAAUCACUGGGCAUAAAGCGCACGUAGGCGGCUAGGUCCGUCCAAUGUGAAAGCCCCCGGCUCAACCGGGGAAUUGCAUCGGAUACAGCCUGGCUUGAGGACGGUUGGGGUGAGUGGAACUCCUGGUGGAGCGGUGAAAUGCGUAGAUAUCAGGAGGAACACCGGUGGCGAAAGCGGCUCACUGGACCGUAACUGACGCUGAGGUGCGAAAGCUAGGGGAGCAAACGGGAUUAGAUACCCAUGUAGUCCCUGAGCGGGCUGGCAAGGCGCAU